CUCCUUCCAAAAAAAAAAAAAAAAAAAAAAAAAAACAUGAAAGGCAAAACUACAAGAGUGCAUCAUGCAGGUGCAUCCCAGAGCCUCCGCUGCAACGGAAAAUAAAAGCUAGAUAAAUUCAGUUCUCUUAUCUGUCCUCCGUAGUCCUCUUAAUGAAUAUCAAUAAUUUUGCACCUCAGACACAAGUUAGACCUCAUUCUAUCAUUCAAAGGUCGUAAGUCGUGAAAGAAUCAUAAGCCAUGCAUCUCCUCAGCCAAAAAAAAAAAAAAAAAAAAAACUUCUUAUCAUUAUAGCUCUUAAUUUUGUUGAACUGGCUCCAAGAAUUCCAGUAGUAGUGAAUAAAUUUCACUAUAGGCUACUUGCAAGAUUUUAGAGAACAUAGGCAGGCAGGCCCAUAUAGGCUGGGGCUAUUCUAAUCAACUUGUAGUCUAAAUCCAUGGUAUCCACCACCGGCCUAUGAAUUUUGAUGCCCUUUAAAGAUAUUUUUAUUUAUUUUUAUUCCAAACAGAUUUUUUGAGCCUCUCCCGAUAAACAGUCAUUUUCUUGAUUGAGAUACUUCCUGAGUAAGUGGAUUAUGGAUAAUGAACAGUUUAAAUAGGCUAAUCCCUGUUUUAGGGAAACAAAAUCUUACCAAUAAAAAUUGCCUUAUGGGGACAUUGAUCAAGCUGACGAUCCAUACAUGCAUAACACGAAUUAAUUAAGAUGUUAUUUGCAAUAUGCAGAUGUUUGGAAUAAGAGACAAUAUGUAACAACAUGAUAAUAACUCCAUUAUUUUUAGAAAUUAAUCAUUAACUCCAGUUGGAGUCUUGAUAUUCUACCGUAGCACAUGACCUGGUAAAAGCUAGUGUGGAAAUUUCUCCAAUGAGUAGCAGCAGGCCCUAUUUGUUAGUCAGAAGCAAAGAAAACAAACUAGAAGACAUUUGAUGCGUAAGCUCUAGAAUAAAUUCUGCUCAGACCAGAUUUUUCAUUGAUGUUUUUGUGUAACACAUUGAAACACAAGAGACGAGAAAAGUUAAAACCAUAUGAGACACAGGUUUCUCGCAUCCAUUAGAAAAAAGAUUCUACCACAUUAUUGCAUUUAGGUUGCCCAUCACUGAAUUCAUAUUAAUUCUGAUAUGAUUAUGGAUCUUCACCGCUGACAGGUACCACGGAUGGAACAGAUGUAUGGGCCAAACAAGCUCCAACCAUUUGUCCACCCCAGAUAAGAAAAACCUCAAUCACUUUUCCUUUUACAUGAAGGAAAACUAAGAGGAAAAAAUAUUUUCCACCUGUUAUAUAUUAAAAUUAAAGAACAAGGGCCAAACUGUAUGAGCCAAUCUUCGUGACUCCAGCACACCAUCCUAAAGUACGGCUAACAACAAAGCAAAAAGAACGCCCACCUGGAUAUCCUGUAUCAUUUAUAGUUGCAUUGCGUUUUGGACCAACUGGUAUUUGCUUUUGAAGUGUUCGGUACAUUUAAGGACUAAAUUCUUAUAGCACGGAAUAGUUUAUCUCCAGUUGUAUCACCUAUUUAUCAUAUUUACUUCCAUUCCUAACGUAUUAGAGUUCUAUAAUUAUAUAUAUUGGUAUCUUCAAGAUGAUAAUUAACAGAUUAUGUUUACCAUUUGCCACUGCAUUCAUCACUCUUCAGAAUAAGAGAGUAAGAACUGAGCAGCCAAUACUCAUGUUUUUUCAAUUUUGAGUGAUCACCAGUGAAGAUCAGAAAUGAUGAUCUCAUUGCACAAUGGGGAAAAACGAAAGGAAAUUCCAGUGCAAAAUAAAUAGGUAUCUCCAAAAGUAAACUUAUUGACUAAAGACGCUUGCAUGAAAAAUAUCCAAGAAAUGAUCUUGUGCAGAGACUAACUAGAAAAAGAAUAGAGUGCUUAAUAUGCCUGCUAAGAAAAUUUUAAUUGGAAAAUCAAACAUCCAUAAAGGGGUUCCAACUACUGCCGAAAGAGCAGGUAAGAUGUGUUGACCAUUCCUGCGAGAGAGGAAGUAAAACAAGAUAAUUGUUGUACGGGCAACGCUAGCCAGCUAGAAUGCUUGGAAUAUUGUUCAGGAGAGAGUAUUGCUUACAGGAUCCCAUAUAUAAUGAAGAAAGUGAAAGAGUUCCUUUGCCGUGGGACUUUUUUGGAGAGAAUAUAUGGACUAUCGUGCACACGUGAAAGUCGUAGCACGUUUAGGGAAUUUUUUCGUGGUUCAAGCAUGGACCCAUUUAAGUCGUUCUUGAUGCAGAACAAAAACAUUAGAGUAGUAUGCAGAAAAUCCUGGCAGAAGUUCACCUUCGGAUUUCUGCCUUGUUGCUUUCCUUGUUAGCAUACUUUUCUCCUCAAGCUUCUGCCACAGUAAAUUACCUUACAGUCCUGGAAGAAGCUACCAUAAACCAAACCACGUGAAUUAUGCUUAAAAAUGUAUUAUUUUAGCGUGGAAAGGCAUUUUUGGGGCUUUAUAGGUUAUACUGUUUUUAGAAUUUCUGUAUAGUGGAGUUGUCCACGUUACUAGAACUUAAUGUAGAAAUUCUUUAGUGCAAUAAUAUGAAGACUGUAAUAAAGAAAGAAAAGGACUUAAUUCUGUUUAUAAAUUAUUAUUGUUGUUCAGGGUAAUACUCAUUUUUACAUUUUUAUUCUUGUUCUUUGUCCGGUGUGGAUUUGUGGUUCCUGCGAAGACAAAUCAUUGAAAUUCUACUACCCUUUGCAAGAUUUCUAAGCCAACUGGCUCUACCCCACCUUACCCCCCUCCUCUACUCCGCCUAUAAAGAGCGGGCAUUGCCACCUCAAUGCGCAUAUCAACCCUCCUUACUAGUAGCCUGCUUCCUUUUGACUCUAUACACCCUCUAAUCUUUGCUUUUUUAGCCUUCGCAGUUCAUAACAGAACUAUCAUUGGUAGUGAUUCUCACAAGCAUUAAAGAGCAUCAUCCUUCAAAUAAUUAAUACCUCUACCUAAGCUUCCACUAUCUAUAUCUUAAACUAAGGAUGGCAUCUAGUUCAAUGUCGGCUCAUGGCUCCGGCUCUUGGACUGCCAAGCAAAACAAGGCCUUUGAGAAGGCUCUGGCAGUGUAUGACAAGGACACGCCUGACCGCUGGUAUAAUGUUGCCAGGGCUGUGGGUGGGAAAACAGCAGAGGAAGUGAAAAGGCACUAUGAGCUCCUCGUUGAAGAUGUCAAACAUAUCGAGUCAGGCCACGUGCCCUUUCCGAAAUACCGGACCACUGGAGGGAGCAUGAGUGAAGAGGAAAAGAGGUAGUAUAAUAUAAGCAGCGCACAGUACGUAUAUAUUUUUUUAUUUUGGUUCUUUUUCUUUUUCUACAAAGAAAGAAACCCCACAAUAUCACCUGAGCAAAUUAAGCGGAAUAGAGGGAUAGCCUCCUAACCUGCACAGCAUCCCUUAUUAGCGCCUAGUAUUUCCUAUGGCUACAUUCUGCACCGAAUAAGUAGAGACUUACAUGUUUGCUUUUUAUAUAACCAUGCGAUUCCACCAUUAAAGGAAGCGAAGUCUUAUAAUAGGACCUAGCCUAUUAUCCGAUUAUCUUAAAACUUAAAAGGGGUAUAACGCCGAACAGUUUUAUCCUCCUAAACUUUACAGUCAUUUUUUUUUUUUUGACUCCGCACAGUAAGUAAUAAUUUGGUGCAUAUAUUUAGCUGUAUUUUCUAGCUCGACUGAUAAUAAUUUGGUCAAAAACGAGGAAAGCACUUUCAGAAUCUGAACCAAACAAAGGCUUGGUCAGCAGGCACUAUCUACAUCAAUACCAAACUUUCCCUUCCCUUCAAGGUUACAAAUAGAAAUCCUAAUUUUCUUUUCCUCCUCAGUUACUAACAAGCAAAGUCCUCUCAAUAAAAAUCAGAAGUAGAUCCAAAGUAUGUUAUCUUGCAAUCAGUUUUCACCUGGCAUCUUAACUCAACUAUACAUAUCACUAUCGUGAAUUUCUUCUCUAGUCAACUACUAAAAAAUGUCCUGUUCUUUUCGUCAGAUUAUUAAUUAUUAUAAAUAAGUAUAGUUCUCUUUUUAUUUAUUUUUUUCAAAUUUCCUUUUGCAGGAUGAAAAAUCUGAAGCUGCACUAAGAAGUUUUCCUGUCACCUAAUCAACAAUAAAGAUCUACAUAUAAUCUACUCUUAUCAUUACUUAAAGGAUGCAUUAUAAAGACAGUACCUAUUUGAGAAUUGCCAACCGGUGAUUCUGGUCUUAUUUCUUCAUCUUCUCCGUUCUUGUGCCAACUCUUUGUCAAGUAUUCCUCUAUUGUCACUGCAAAUCCAUCGUGUAUCAAGAGAUGAGCAUCGCAAUUUUCUUUUUCCAAGUCUUAUGAUGUGUAACAAAUUCGCUACAUCUGCAAUAUAUAAGUUCCACGUUAGCUUUGUUAAAAUCAGCAGUUCUCGAUAAAAAUCACGCAAUACAGAGUAAAGGAGAAUCAUAAUUAGAGGUGUUAAUCGAUUUUUGGGUUUAUAACCGUAUAACUGACCUUGGUGAUUUAUGAUCUGAGAUCAUUGGAAUGAUCGCAAAAAAAAAAAAGUUGCUGGUAAGAGUAAAAAGAAAUAAGAGAUGAAUGGCGGGCAUUUUGUGCGAGAGAGAAAAAAGGGAAAAGGCGGGAAAUUGGAGUUUGAAAUUAAUUAGUUAAAGGGG
This 4592-nucleotide long non-coding RNA is filed under the name Carica papaya (papaya). RNAcentral describes it as "long non-coding RNA (CPAP_LNC008169)". The record is from RNAcentral. Lineage: Eukaryota; Viridiplantae; Streptophyta; Magnoliopsida; Brassicales; Caricaceae.